GAUCGAAAAUGACAGCCAUCAAGAUCAUAACAAAUUGAGGUGGACGGUGGCAAGUAGGUCUCCGCACAACCAUGCAGACAACAAGUACAGGAGCUGCCUGCCUUAUCCCUGACAACACUUCAGUUUCAGGUCAAUUUGUAUUCUUUCUUCUCUUUGCGUCUUCUAUCCUUUAUUACCUUGCCGAACUCGAUUUGGAAUGGUUGGAUUGGUUACUCUGCAAGAUUAAGUUACAACACAUGGAUCAGUUUACAGUGCGUAUGUGGUCACAUUCUUCUCUUUUUUACUAGGAGAAAUUAAACCAGAUAGGUGCGCUUAUUGCCGGACGCAGCGUCCUUCAGCUGGUGUGUCUCCAGCAGGACCCCUCUAACAAGGAGCUCAAAUUAUUUCUCAUGCAAGUGGAGGUCCAAUGGAGUGAGCAAGAUGCAGUGAUCAGGUUGUUUUAAAUCCAUGAUUACUAAAAUUGUUGUAUCAGAUUUUUCUAGAGCGUUUAUCCACAUCAGAUUUCAUAACAGAGGACUACAACAAUUGAUGCUUAUCAGUACAGAACUUCAAAAACAGAAUAGUAAAGGUUUGUAUGUCAGAAUAAUGCAAGAACUGUAGGCAAGUACAUUUUUCUCCUCUUCAAUGACACCUAUUUUUCAUUAGCAUAAAUUAAACCAGAUGGGUGUGCAGUGUUGUGCAAAUCAAAGGACAAACAUCAUAUCAGGAAAAGUAAAUUCUAAGAACAAACAAGAAUCUUUUUCUGCACUUUGGGAAAAUCUGAGACAGGUAAUUCGAAGUUAUGUACUUGGGCUAGCUUUUACAGUUGAAGCUUAUGCAACGGGAUUUGCACACGUACUAAUAUUAAAGACUAGGCAUGCUAAUAUGCUAUUGUAAACACAUGGCAUAGCUAAUAGGCAGAUCUUUUUUUGCAUUAGAGGUGAAAUUGAACAAAGAAAAAUGCUCCUUCUGGCCUUGGAAGUGCCUUCAGUGGAGCCACAGGCCUGCAAUUGUCUAAUUCUUCCAGGCUUUGGCCUUGGAGGUGCCUUCAAUGGAGCCACAGGUCCUGAUAUAUUCCACAAUUUAUGUCUGGUUGCAAUAUUUAAGGUAUCUGUGCAUAAUACUCCGUGCCUUCAGGACUGCUCCCUCCCUCUGAAAAUUGAAAAGUUGCUUGUCCACCAAACAAAAUACCGUGUUGGUUACUCAAAAAGUAAAAAUAUAGUGGUCCUUGUUCUGUAUUAUACGUACUAGCCUUGAUUGUUCUAAAGUAAACAGUAGAUUUUGAGCAUUUUCUUUUGUUUGCAAGCUUGACCCCCACUAUUCUGAAUGUUUUCCAUUGUGCCAUUGAUUUUGUUUAUAGAAAAAUCUUCCUCUUCAACUGCAUCUUCCACCACUGUCCCUCCUAUCCUUUUGGUGCUGCUGUUGAUGCUGCUGCUUCCGUUCCUCAUGGGUGAGAGUCUGUAUAAUUUUCUCCUUCCCCUCUGCCCCUGCUACUAGAUGUUGCCAUCAGCUGGGCUUAAGAGUUAAGUUCUGUAAUACUUGUUGCAUAGAACUUAAGUUUUUGUUUUCAUUGGUGCGUGGAACUUGGAAAUUUUCGAGAUUCUCAAGCUUCUGAUGCUGCCAUGCUAAUGUUGGUUCAAAGGAUGGGACAUACGCUAUGAAGGUGGUGGAUACAGUCAUACAGAGCAAGGGGGCAACUGAUCUGGUGAAGGAGGUUCAUCCUUGUUCAAUCAUCCCAAUCUGCUACCUCUUCUUGACAAUGCCAUAAUAGCAGUGAAGCUGUGAAGGUCUGCCUUGUACUUUUUGUAGUUCCUCUUCUAGUGAAGCCUUUCCUUGCAGAAGACGCACUCAACCUCUAAAUUGGGCAACCUACCUUUCCGAGGCUCCGAAAAGAUGAAGAUGGAGAGAGUUAGGCCUUGGAAAUGUGAAGAUUUUGAGGGUGUUUUGGGUUUGAGAGUACGAAAAGAAAAACUUCAGAGUCUCCUUUUGAUAGUAUGAGAUACUCCAAACCAAAACAAGGAGUAAAAUUUUACUCUUAACAGCCAAGAAACUGUGCAACACAAAUUCUGUAGUCAACAAAACUGAAACUGGAGUCGGUGCUUAGAACUGCAGGAGUAGUCAGUUUUCCUAAUUUUACUCUUAACAACAUAUCAAAACUACAGAAGUUUUGGCACCAACAAAACUGAGUACUCCAUUGCUUCCAUGUUCCA
Molecule: non-coding RNA, 2189 nt
Organism: Aegilops tauschii subsp. strangulata
Lineage: Eukaryota; Viridiplantae; Streptophyta; Magnoliopsida; Poales; Poaceae
Source: RefSeq, a predicted model, not a curated record